Molecule: small nuclear RNA, 106 nt
Filed under: Chelonia mydas (Green sea turtle)
Lineage: Eukaryota; Metazoa; Chordata; Testudines; Cheloniidae
Description: U2 spliceosomal RNA
Rfam family: U2 spliceosomal RNA
About the family: U2 is a small nuclear RNA (snRNA) component of the spliceosome (involved in pre-mRNA splicing).
Source: Rfam by way of RNAcentral
UUAGCUGAACUAUUAAGAUCAAGUGUAGUAUCUGUUCUUAUCAGUUUAAUAUCGGAUACGUCCUCUAUCUGAGGACUAUAUAUUAUAAAGAUAGAUAGGAACUCUU